UUGUGGAGAUAAUUUGUUAUGGUGGGUGUAUUUAAACUUUAUCAGAGUAUUUUUUAAAUUGUCAUUAUACAACAACCAACGAUUAUUUAACAAAAGAGUGAUAUUCGUUAAGUAUAAUUUCCUUCGACCAGAUUAAUACAAUCAUAACAAAAUGUUGAUGAACGUUGCUGACGUACUCUCGUUCACUGGUUUACUGCCCAUCGUUAUGCUUCGUCCUUGUUAUGCGCAUUUUUGAUAAAAAAAUUGUAUCAGGAGAGGUUCUGGAAUUACAGUUUUAUAUGUGAUAAACUUGGGAAUACUUUUUUUCAUCCAGGUAUUUGACCUAAACAAAAUGUGUAUAUUUCCUCUUGAAGGCCUUGUUGUUAAGUGGCUUUACAAUAUCUACCAAGGACCAUGGAAAUGAUUAAUGGUAGUGUGUAAUAAUUUUAAUGUUAUGAAGUGCUUUUCCUGAAUGUAUCAUUUCUUUCACACUAGUAAACCUUCCUGGAUUACUUUGGGCUUCAAAGAAGAGCUAUGAAAAUGUUCUUUUCUUCCCUGGAAAUAAGAUAAUAAUCAUAGUGGGGAGUCAAUUGCUGAAGAAGAAGUUUGACGUGUAAUUGGUUCCUUUUUGAAUGCAUAAGAAGUUACAGAAUUAGAGGAUACACCUUGGAAUGCAUUUUCCCCUUACCAAUGCCAAGUAAUGUUUCGUCCAGCAGUUCAGCCUACACACAGAUGGUGCAUUUCUUUUGAAGACUUUAUUACCGAGAGAUGGACUGUAAAUGAGAAGGAGAGAGAACAAUGGAGUUGAUUUUGAUGUUGUGCAGCAACCAGUAUCUACAAUGGUAUUGUCGCUUUUUCUGGACUUGGUAUUCUAUUAUCAUCUUCAUCUUGUGCAUGAACAACUGGAAAUUUAUUUCAAAAUCACUAAACUUGUGGCCAUUCUUCCUGGGUUUGGUUUACUCUUCACAUUUGUAAAGUGUCGAAACGUUGCCCGCUACUGUUAUUUAAGAUUGUCCAACAAGUGAGAAACAAAUAAGUUCAGUUUGGUUGUGCUUAAAUAACUGAUGUCUACAUGGACAGCAUUAUGCAGUUAAUUUUGGGCUGAUGAGAUAGAACAACUGGAAAUUUAUUUGGAAACCAAACAUGUCAUUGUUCGUGGAUUUGACUUGCUCUUCACACUUCUAAAACUCUGGAACGUUGCAUUCUUCAUUUAAUUAAGAUUGUUCAACAAAUGGGAAAGAAUUAAAGGUCAGUUUGGUCCUAUUGAAACAACCAAUGUCUACAUGGGCAUCAUCUUUCCUGGAUUGUUCUCUUGAUCAGCUGUUUACAUUUUUGCAUUGCAACAUAUGAAGUUAAUUUGAAUUCCACUGAAAUUGCAAAUUUUCUGCUACCCUAUUCCUCCUGGAGUGGGUUUGCUUUUCACACCUGUAAACUUUGGAACAUUACAGUCUACAGUUAAUUAAGAUCGACGCUGGAGAAGACAAAGAUGACCC
RNAcentral lists this unclassified non-coding RNA (1472 nucleotides) under Agrilus planipennis (emerald ash borer). Its description in RNAcentral is "uncharacterized LOC108737443, transcript variant X3". Lineage: Eukaryota; Metazoa; Arthropoda; Insecta; Coleoptera; Buprestidae. The record is from RNAcentral.